RNAcentral lists this non-coding RNA (28 nucleotides) under Bombyx mori (domestic silkworm). The record is from RNAcentral. Lineage: Eukaryota; Metazoa; Arthropoda; Insecta; Lepidoptera; Bombycidae.
UGACUAAUAUAGGCCUAGGCUUACUGGU